UACAGAGGUCGCAAGCGUUGUUCGGAUUCAUUGGGCGUAAAGGGUGCGUAGGCGGCGCGGUAAGUCGGGUGUGAAAUCUCGGGGCUUAACUCCGAAACUGCAUUCGAUACUGCCGUGCUUGAGGACUGGAGAGGAGACUGGAAUUUACGGUGUAGCGGUGAAAUGCGCAGAUACCGGGAAGAACACCCGUGGCGAAGGCGGCUCUCUGGGCAACAACUGACGCUGAGGAGCGAAAGCGUGGGGAGCGAACAGG
This 253-nucleotide ribosomal RNA is filed under the name uncultured bacterium. Its description in RNAcentral is "partial 16S ribosomal RNA". It matches the Rfam family "Bacterial small subunit ribosomal RNA", at positions 524 to 776 of the family's 1533-position model. The record is from RNAcentral.